AUUGAACGCUGGCGGCAUGCUUUACACAUGCAAGUCGAACGGCAGCACGGGGGCAACCCUGGUGGCGAGUGGCGAACGGGUGAGUAAUGCAUCGGAACAUACCCAGUCGUGGGGGAUAACGUAGCGAAAGUUGCGCUAAUACCGCAUACGUCCUGAGGGAGAAAGCGGGGGAUCGCAAGACCUCGCGCGAUUGGAGUGGCCGAUGUCAGAUUAGCUAGUUGGUGGGGUAAAGGCCCACCAAGGCGACGAUCUGUAGCGGGUCUGAGAGGAUGAUCCGCACACUGGGACUGAGACACGGCCCAGACUCCUACGGGAGGCAGCAGUGGGGGAAUUUUUGGACAAUGGGGGCGAACCCUGAUCCAGCCAUGCCGCGUGCGGGAAGAAGGCCUCGGUU
RNAcentral lists this ribosomal RNA (394 nucleotides) under uncultured bacterium. Its description in RNAcentral is "bacterial SSU rRNA". It matches the Rfam family "Bacterial small subunit ribosomal RNA", at positions 29 to 424 of the family's 1533-position model. The record is from RNAcentral.